This 266-nucleotide ribosomal RNA is filed under the name Mycobacterium tuberculosis. Its description in RNAcentral is "partial 23S ribosomal RNA". It matches the Rfam family "Bacterial large subunit ribosomal RNA", at positions 655 to 920 of the family's 2925-position model. Lineage: Bacteria; Bacillati; Actinomycetota; Actinomycetes; Mycobacteriales; Mycobacteriaceae. The record is from RNAcentral.
GUAUAGGGGAGCCGCAGGGAAACCGAGUCUUAACUGGGCGUUAAGUUGCAGGGUAUAGACCCGAAACCCGGUGAUCUAGCCAUGGGCAGGUUGAAGGUUGGGUAACACUAACUGGAGGACCGAACCGACUAAUGUUGAAAAAUUAGCGGAUGACUUGUGGCUGGGGGUGAAAGGCCAAUCAAACCGGGAGAUAGCUGGUUCUCCCCGAAAGCUAUUUAGGUAGCGCCUCGUGAAUUCAUCUUCGGGGGUAGAGCACUGUUUCGGCU